Non-coding RNA from Salmo salar (Atlantic salmon), 54 nucleotides. The record is from Rfam. Lineage: Eukaryota; Metazoa; Chordata; Actinopteri; Salmoniformes; Salmonidae.
AAUGCACCAAUUUGUAAGUCGCUCUGGGUAAGAGCAUCUGCUAAAUGACUUAAA